GACGUAGGGGGCGAGCGUUGUCCGGAAUCACUGGGCGUAAAGCGUGCGCAGGCGGCCCGUUAAGACAGGUGUGAAAUCCCUGGGCUCAACCUAGGAAUUGCGCUUGUGACUGGCGGGCUCGAGUACGGUAGAGGGGGGUGGAAUUCCUGGUGUAGCAGUGAAAUGCGUAGAGAUCAGGAGGAACACCGAUGGCGAAGGCAGCCCCCUGGGCCUGUACUGACGCUCAUGCACGAAAGCGUGGGGAGCAAACAGG
RNAcentral lists this ribosomal RNA (253 nucleotides) under uncultured microorganism. RNAcentral describes it as "partial 16S ribosomal RNA". It matches the Rfam family "Bacterial small subunit ribosomal RNA", at positions 524 to 776 of the family's 1533-position model. The record is from RNAcentral.